RNAcentral lists this ribosomal RNA (421 nucleotides) under uncultured bacterium. RNAcentral describes it as "bacterial SSU rRNA". It matches the Rfam family "Bacterial small subunit ribosomal RNA", at positions 355 to 774 of the family's 1533-position model. The record is from RNAcentral.
UAGGGAAUAUUGGACAAUGGGCGAAAGCCUGAUCCAGCCAUGCCGCGUGGUAGAUGAAGGCCCUCUGGGUUGUAAAUACCUUUUAUCUGGGAAGAAAUAUCUCAUUCUUGAGAAACUGACGGUACCAGAUGAAUAAGCACCGGCUAACUCCGUGCCAGCAGCCGCGGUAAUACGGAGGGUGCAAGCGUUAUCCGGAUUUACUGGGUUUAAAGGGUGCGUAGGCGGAAUUGUAAGUCAGUGGUGAAAGCCCCGAGCUUAACUUGGGAAUUGCCAUUGAUACUGCUUUUCUUGAAUACGAUUGAGGUAAGCGGAAUGUUGCAUGUAGCGGUGAAAUGCUUAGAUAUGUUACAGAACACCAAUUGCGAAGGCAGCUUACUAAGUCGUUAUUGACGCUGAGGCACGAAAGCGUGGGUAGCAAACA